AGUGAACGCUGGCGGUAGGCCUAACACAUGCAAGUCGAACGGCAGCACAGUAAGAGCUUGCUCUUACGGGUGGCGAGUGGCGGACGGGUGAGGAAUACAUCGGAAUCUACUUUUUCGCGGGGGAUAACGUAGGGAAACUUACGCUAAUACCGCAUACGACCUACGGUUGAAAGCAGGGGAUCUUCGGACCUUGCGCGAUUGAAUGAGCCGAUGUCGGAUUAGCUAGUUGGCGGGGUAAAGGCCCACCAAGGCGACGAUCCGUAGCUGGUCUGAGAGGAUGAUCAGCCACACUGGAACUGAGACACGGUCCAGACUCCUACGGGAGGCAGCAGUGGGGAAUAUUGGACAAUGGGCGCAAGCCUGAUCCAGCCAUACCGCGUGGGUGAAGAAGGCCUUCGGGUUGUAAAGCCCUUUUGUUGGGAAAGAAAAGCAGCAGGUUAAUACCCCGCUGUUCUGACGGUACCCAAAGAAUAAGCACCGGCUAACUUCGUG
Molecule: ribosomal RNA, 492 nt
Filed under: uncultured bacterium
Lineage: Bacteria
Description: partial 16S ribosomal RNA
Rfam family: Bacterial small subunit ribosomal RNA
Source: RNAcentral